Molecule: unclassified non-coding RNA, 821 nt
Filed under: Leishmania donovani
Lineage: Eukaryota; Euglenozoa; Kinetoplastea; Trypanosomatida; Trypanosomatidae
Description: gene:unknown
Source: RNAcentral
CACCGCUGACCUUUGCUCCCUCUCACAUGCCAUACCCUCCACCCACAACCACGGGCAUCAAACGUAGUCUAGGAUAAUCCCUUCGCUUCUGCCGAGGGUAGCCAGAGGCCCGAGAAGACAGUUUUGCACGUCUUUCUCCUCGGUAUGGGGCUUCAGCACGGCCUACACGGAGGACACACACACGAGAGAGUGACUGUGCGCGAUGUUGUGCAUGCACUCUGCAAGCAAGGCCACACACUCUACGCAGACGAGUUGUGCAACUGCAGAGUUAUUGCACACAUCCAUAGACAUAUUCUUCGCCCUGCUUCUUGUUUGUUUCAGCUUGUCCUUCUCCCCACCCCCGGAUGACGGUGGGGAGAGCCAGUGCGUGGCAUCACAGGGCUGCGUGUAUUUUCAGUCUGUGGGGAAGCAAAGCAGCCCUGCUAUCCCCCCCCCCUACCGAUGCGGAGCCACCUCUGAUGGUGACAGGGCCAAGCACCUACGGCGUAGGGGGAGGCCGGCGCUAUGCACCGCUGCUGAUGCCGGCGGUGAUGUGGAGGAUGGCGUUGCUCCGGAGCGACCUGCGACCGUGGACACGUGUGUGCCGCCGAUACGAUGGGCGAAGUGUCAGCGCGACUGCAGCGCAUCUCACCCGGCCCUGACUGUGCUGGUGGUGAGGGGAGCCUGAGCGCCCGCCCACGGCUGCACCGCGUGCUGGUUGGGACAAUGCGAGCGUCUGCGAGGCGACCUGCGGGGCGGAUGUGGGUGGGUCGAGCUUGAGGCGGAUGCCGUGCUCAGAUGACUGAGUGGGCGCGUUGCCGUGGCGUGUGUGUGUGUGUGCG